This 253-nucleotide ribosomal RNA is filed under the name uncultured bacterium. Its description in RNAcentral is "partial 16S ribosomal RNA". It matches the Rfam family "Bacterial small subunit ribosomal RNA", at positions 524 to 776 of the family's 1533-position model. The record is from RNAcentral.
UACGUAGGGUGCAAGCGUUAAUCGGAAUUACUGGGCGUAAAGCGUGCGCAGGCGGUUAUAUAAGACAGAUGUGAAAUCCCCGGGCUCAACCUGGGAACUGCAUGUGUGACUGUAGAGCUAGAGUACGGCAGAGGGGGAUGGAAUUCCGGGUGUAGCAGUGAAAUGCGUAGAUAUGCGGAGGAACACCGAUGGCGAAGGCAAGCCCCUGGGCCUGUACUGACGCUCAUGCACGAAAGCGUGGGGAGCAAACAGG